This 1358-nucleotide ribosomal RNA is filed under the name uncultured bacterium. RNAcentral's name for it is "16S ribosomal RNA". It matches the Rfam family "Bacterial small subunit ribosomal RNA", at positions 8 to 1378 of the family's 1533-position model. The record is from RNAcentral.
AGAGUUUGAUCCUGGCUCAGAGUAAACGCAGGCGGCGUGCUUAUCACAUGCGGAUCCAACGACAACAGGUUAUAGCUUGCUAUAACUGUCAGCUAUCUGGCGCACGGGUGAGUAAUAUAUACGUAAUGUGCCUUAUAGAAGAGAAUAAUUGUUGGAAACGACUUGUAAUGCUCUAUAUGCCCUUAAUACAAAAGUAUACAGGGGAAAUAUUUAUAGCUCUAAGAUCGGCCUGUACGGUAUCAGCUUGUUGGUGAGGUAAUGGCUCACCAAGGCUAUGACGCCUAACUGGUUUGAGAGGAUGAUCAGUCACACUGGAACUGAGACACGGUCCAGACUCCUACGGGAGGCAGCAGUGGGGAAUAUUGCACAAUGGACGAAAGUCUGAUGCAGCAACGCCGCGUGGAGGAUGACGCAUUUCGGUGUGUAAACUCCUUUUAUAUGGGAAGAUAAUGACGGUACCAUAUGAAUAAGCACCGGCUAACUCCGUGCCAGCAGCCGCGGUAAUACGGAGGGUGCAAGCGUUACUCGGAAUCACUGGGCGUAAAGCGCGCGCAGGCGGCUAUUUAAGUUGGAUGUGAAAGCCUACGGCUCAACCGUAGAACUGCAUCCAAAACUAUUUAGCUAGAGUGUGGGAGAGGAAGAUGGAAUUAGUUGUGUAGGGGUAAAAUCCGUAGAGAUAACUAGGAAUACCAAAAGCGAAGGCAAUCUUCUGGAACACUACUGACGAUGAGGCGCGAAAGCGUGGGGAGCAAACAGGAUUAGAUACCCUGGUAGUCCACGCAGUAAACGAUGAAUNUUNGUCGUCGGGGGCCUAGUGUCUUCGGUGAUGCAGCUAACGCAUUAAACAUUCCGCCCGGGGAGUACGGUCGCAAGAUUAAAACUCAAAGGAAUAGACGGGGACCCGCACAAGUGGUGGAGCAUGUGGUUUAAUUCGAAGAUACGCGAAGAACCUUACCUAGCCUUGACAUAUUUUAGAACACUUUAGAGAUAGAGUGGUGCCUUCGGGAGCUAAUUUACAGGUGCUGCACGGCUGUCGUCAGCUCGUGUCGUGAGAUGUUGGGUUAAGUCCCGCAACGAGCGCAACCCUCGUCACUAGUUACUAACGGUUCGGCCGAGGACUCUAGUGAGACUGCCUUCGUAAGGAGGAGGAAGGUGAGGACGACGUCAAGUCAUCAUGGCCCUUACGGCUAGGGCAACACACGUGCUACAAUGGCCAGGACAGUGAGACGCAAUACCGCGAGGUGGAGCAAAUCUAUAAACCUGGUCUCAGUUCGGAUUGUUCUCUGCAACUCGAGAACAUCAAGAAGGAAUCAUUAGUAAUAGUAGAUCAGGUUUGGCACGGAGAAUGCAUUCCCGGG